UACCUUCAAUUUAUCAACUCUUACAUGAAUAUAUAAUCUCAAUUAGAGUGAUACCAAUUUUUCUCCGAUUGUAAAAAGAAUACCACAUUUGAGAAUUGUGACUGUCCAUUUUCUAAUUGCAAGGGCCCCCUUCCCUCGAGAUUCCUGGUGUACAAUUACACGUUCUAACACGGCAUGGGCAUCAUCAACACAACCACGAUGACUAUCAUAGUGGUUACUGGUUAUAUGCGGUGAAAUAUACACAC
This 245-nucleotide long non-coding RNA is filed under the name Eucalyptus grandis. Its description in RNAcentral is "long non-coding RNA (EGRA_LNC006046)". The record is from RNAcentral. Lineage: Eukaryota; Viridiplantae; Streptophyta; Magnoliopsida; Myrtales; Myrtaceae.